Molecule: long non-coding RNA, 521 nt
Organism: Brachypodium distachyon (stiff brome)
Lineage: Eukaryota; Viridiplantae; Streptophyta; Magnoliopsida; Poales; Poaceae
Exons: 3
Source: RefSeq, a predicted model, not a curated record
UCUCUCUGCUUCCUUUUGUCAGUCCACAACUGUUCUAAUUACACUGCAGCUCACUUGCUCAGUGUGCUGCAUAUGCUCACCAGUCAGCUCGCUUAUUUUUUACAGAGUGUGAACCCUCUGUACUCUGGCCAGUAAAGCAGGAGAAUGUUCCACAUGAUGCAGUAUAUAUUAUGCAAUAGAAUAAUGGACUUGUAUGUUUCUGCGAAGGAGGAAGCUUAGCUUGCAAGAGAACCAAAAAUCAAAGUGCCAUUCCCACGUGACAGCCAUAUACCCCAGCAGUACUCCAGCAGUAAAAGAAAAGGGUUCUAAUGAUGGGCCUAACAAGAAAAGAAACACGUAGAUUCUCUAAGCGCAUCUCCAACAAAGGUGGCUAGAGCAAAGGAGGUGAGCACGCGUGUGUUGGUCCAAGGGCCAUCGAGCACCUCGAGAUUGUACACUGCGCUCCGGUGAUUGGCGUCCAUGGCGUUGAUGAGGAGCCGGAAUGUGAAGACGGGCCCCUAGGACAGCUGGGAGCCGGUCAA